RNAcentral lists this ribosomal RNA (462 nucleotides) under uncultured bacterium. RNAcentral's name for it is "bacterial SSU rRNA". It matches the Rfam family "Bacterial small subunit ribosomal RNA", at positions 338 to 792 of the family's 1533-position model. The record is from RNAcentral.
CCUACGGGUGGCAGCAGUGGGGAAUAUUGCACAAUGGGCGCAAGCCUGAUGCAGCCAUGCCGCGUGUGUGAAGAAGGCCUUCGGGUUGUAAAGCACUUUCAGCGGGGAGGAAGGCGGUGAGGUUAAUAACCUCACCGAUUGACGUUACCCGCAGAAGAAGCACCGGCUAACUCCGUGCCAGCAGCCGCGGUAAUACGGAGGGUGCAAGCGUUAAUCGGAAUUACUGGGCGUAAAGCGCACGCAGGCGGUCUGUCAAGUCGGAUGUGAAAUCCCCGGGCUCGACCUGGGAACUGCAUUCGAAACUGGCAGGCUAGAGUCUUGUAGAGGGGGGUAGAAUUCCAGGUGUAGCGGUGAAAUGCGUAGAGAUCUGGAGGAAUACCGGUGGCGAAGGCGGCCCCCUGGACAAAGACUGACGCUCAGGUGCGAAAGCGUGGGGAGCAAACAGGAUUAGAUACCCCGGUA